Molecule: ribosomal RNA, 234 nt
Filed under: uncultured bacterium
Lineage: Bacteria
Description: partial 16S ribosomal RNA
Rfam family: Bacterial small subunit ribosomal RNA
Source: RNAcentral
CCGGGUGAGUAACACGUGACUAACCUACCCUCGAGUGGGGAAUAACUCCGGGAAACCGGAGCUAAUACCGCAUAACAUCAUCGGAACGCAGGUUUUGGUGAUCAAAGGAGCAAUUCGCUUGAGGAGGGAGUCGCGGCUGAUUAGCUAGUUGGCGGGGUAAUGGCCCACCAAGGCUUAGAUCGGUAGCCGGCCUGAGAGGGCGCACGGCCACACUGGAACUGAAACACGGUCCAG